AGUGAACGCUGGCGGUAGGCCUAACACAUGCAAGUCGAACGGCAGCACAGUAAGAGCUUGCUCUUACGGGUGGCGAGUGGCGGACGGGUGAGGAAUACAUCGGAAUCUACUUUUUCGUGGGGGAUAACGUAGGGAAACUUACGCUAAUACCGCAUACGACCUACGGGUGAAAGCAGGGGAUCUUCGGACCUUGCGCGAUUGUAUGAGCCGAUGUCGGAUUAGCUAGUUGGCGGGGUAAAGGCCCACCAAGGCGACGAUCCGUAGCUGGUCUGAGAGGAUGAUCAGCCACACUGGAACUGAGACACGGUCCAGACUCCUACGGGAGGCAGCAGUGGGGAAUAUUGGACAAUGGGCGCAAGCCUGAUCCAGCCAUACCGCGUGGGUGAAGAAGGCCUUCGGGUUGUAAAGCCCUUUUGUUGGGAAAGAAAAGCAGCAGGUUAAUACCCCGCUGUUCUGACGGUACCCAAAGAAUAAGCACCGACUAACUUCGUG
This 492-nucleotide ribosomal RNA is filed under the name uncultured bacterium. RNAcentral describes it as "partial 16S ribosomal RNA". It matches the Rfam family "Bacterial small subunit ribosomal RNA", at positions 29 to 507 of the family's 1533-position model. The record is from RNAcentral.